GAUGAACGCUGGCGGCGUGCCUAAUACAUGCAAGUCGAGCGAACAGAUAAGGAGCUUGCUCCUUUGACGUUAGCGGCGGACGGGUGAGUAACACGUGGGUAACCUACCUAUAAGACUGGAAUAACUCCGGGAAACCGGGGCUAAUGCCGGAUAACAUUUAGAACCGCAUGGUUCUAAAGUGAAAGAUGGUUUUGCUAUCACUUAUAGAUGGACCCGCGCCGUAUUAGCUAGUUGGUAAGGUAACGGCUUACCAAGGCAACGGUACGUAGCCGACCUGAGAGGGUGAUCGGCCCCAGUGGGGCUGGGCCACGGUCCAGACUCCUACGGACGGCAGCAGUAGGGAAUCUUCGGCGAUGGGCGAAAGCCUGACGGAGCAACGCCGCGUGAGUGAAGAAGGUCUUCGGAGCGUAAGACUCUGUUAUUGGGGAAGAACAAUUGUGUAAGUGACUGUGCACGUCUUGACGGUACCUAAUCAGAAAGCAACGGCUAACUACGUG
RNAcentral lists this ribosomal RNA (497 nucleotides) under uncultured bacterium. RNAcentral describes it as "partial 16S ribosomal RNA". It matches the Rfam family "Bacterial small subunit ribosomal RNA", at positions 28 to 507 of the family's 1533-position model. The record is from RNAcentral.